AGAACGAACGCUGGCGGCAGGCCUAACACAUGCAAGUCGAACGCUCUCGCAAGAGAGAGUGGCGCACGGGUGCGUAACGCGUGGGAAUGUACCUCUAGGUACGGAACAACCCAGGGAAACUUGGGCUAAUACCGUAUAAUAUCUUCGGAUCAAAGAUUUAUCGCCUAGAGAUCAGCCCGCGUAGGAUUAGCUAGUUGGUGAGGUAAUGGCUCACCAAGGCUACGAUCCUUAGCUGGUCUGAGAGGAUGAUCAGCCACACUGGAACUGAGACACGGUCCAGACUCCUACGGGAGGCAGCAGUGAGGAAUAUUGGACAAUGGGGGCAACCCUGAUCCAGCCAUGCCGCGUGAGUGAUGAAGGCCUUCGGGUUGUAAACUCUUUUAGAUGUGAAGAUGAUGACGGUAACAUCAGAAAAGCUCCGGCUAACUUCGUGCCAGCAGCCGC
RNAcentral lists this ribosomal RNA (444 nucleotides) under uncultured bacterium. RNAcentral's name for it is "SSU rRNA". It matches the Rfam family "Bacterial small subunit ribosomal RNA", at positions 26 to 518 of the family's 1533-position model. The record is from RNAcentral.